Molecule: unclassified non-coding RNA, 155 nt
Filed under: soil metagenome
Description: partial internal transcribed spacer 1
Source: RNAcentral
UAAUAAGUGUUUUUAUGGCACUUUUUAAAUCCAUAUCCACCUUGUGUGCAAUGUCAGGUCGAUCUUCUUUCAUUGAGGAUCGACCAAACAUCAAACCUUUAAUUUUUUAAACUCUGUUGUCUGAAAAAUAUUAUUGAAUAAACAAUUCAGAAUUA